CAGGAUGAACGCUGGCUGGCGUGCUUAACACAUGCAAGUCGAACGGUGAACACGGAGCUUGCUCUGUGGGAUCAGUGGCGAACGGGUGAGUAACACGUGAGCAACCUGCCCCUGACUCUGGGAUAAGCGCUGGAAACGGCGUCUAAUACUGGAUAUGUGACGUGACCGCAUGGUCUGCGUUUGGAAAGAUUUUUCGGUUGGGGAUGGGCUCGCGGCCUAUCAGCUUGUUGGUGAGGUAAUGGCUCACCAAGGCGUCGACGGGUAGCCGGCCUGAGAGGGUGACCGGCCACACUGGGACUGAGACACGGCCCAGACUCCUACGGGAGGCAGCAGUGGGGAAUAUUGCACAAUGGGCGAAAGCCUGAUGCAGCAACGCCGCGUGAGGGAUGACGGCCUUCGGGUUGUAAACCUCUUUUAGCAGGGAAGAAGCGAAAGUGACGGUACCUGCAGAAAAAGCGCCGGCUAACUACGUGCCAGCAGCCGCGGUAAUACGUAGGGCGCAAGCGUUAUCCGGAAUUAUUGGGCGUAAAGAGCUCGUAGGCGGUUUGUCGCGUCUGCUGUGAAAUCCCGAGGCUCAACCUCGGGCCUGCAGUGGGUACGGGCAGACUAGAGUGCGGUAGGGGAGAUUGGAAUUCCUGGUGUAGCGGUGGAAUGCGCAGAUAUCAGGAGGAACACCGAUGGCGAAGGCAGAUCUCUGGGCCGUAACUGACGCUGAGGAGCGAAAGGGUGGGGAGCAAACAGGCUUAGAUACCCUGGUAGUCCACCCCGUAAACGUUGGGAACUAGUUGUGGGGUCCAUUCCACGGAUUCCGUGACGCAGCUAACGCAUUAAGUCCCCGCCUGGAGACCCCGACUGCU
Molecule: ribosomal RNA, 857 nt
Filed under: Microbacterium paraoxydans
Lineage: Bacteria; Bacillati; Actinomycetota; Actinomycetes; Micrococcales; Microbacteriaceae
Description: bacterial SSU rRNA
Rfam family: Bacterial small subunit ribosomal RNA
Source: RNAcentral